Molecule: ribosomal RNA, 846 nt
Filed under: Foraminifera environmental sample
Lineage: Eukaryota; Foraminifera
Description: partial SSU ribosomal RNA
Rfam family: Eukaryotic small subunit ribosomal RNA
Source: RNAcentral
AAGGGCACCACAAGAACGCGUGGAGUAUGUGGCUUAAUUUGACUCAACACGGGAAAUCUUACCGGGUCCGGACACACUGAGGAUUGACAGACAUAUUAUAAUUUACACUUUUUUGUAUUUUAUAUAAAUAUGAAGUUCUUUCAUGAUUAUGUGAUAGGUGGUGCAUGGCCGUUUUUAGUUCGUGAAGUGAUUUGUCUGCUUAAUUGCGUUUCAAUUAUAUAGUGCAGAAUUUAAACUAUUAAAAUAUUUAAUAUUUUAAAGUUGAUUUUGUAUCUUCUUUUGAAUGCAACGAACGUGACCGUAAUACAUUUUUGCAUUUCCAUUAAAAUUAUUUUUUUAAUUUUACAUAAAUGCUUUCAAAAAUAUGUAGACCGCUGUUUUUCUAAAUUCUUAAACCAGAGUAAGGAUACGGCAAUAACAGGUCUGUGAUGCCCUUAGAUGUUCCGGGCUGCACACGUGCUACAAUGAUUAUAACAGUAAGUAUUAAAACAAAAGUUCAAUGAUAAUUUAUUAGAUUUGAAUGAUUAAUACCUUAAUUGAUAAAUAAAUUUUUUUAGGUAAUCAAUUGUAAAUUAUGAUUUCCUUAUACAUAUAUGAGUUACAGAUGAUGUUAUUUAAAAACGAUGUUUACAUUUUUUUUUUUAACAUUAAAAUAUAUUAAGUUAUUUCUCCGUUGGGAUAGACAAUUGUACAUAAAAAUACUUUUUUCUUUUUUUUUUUUUAAGGAAAGUUAAAGGUAUAAUAUUUUUAAUUAUUUGUCUUGCCUAACUAGGAAUGCCUCGUACAGUUCUUUGGUUCAUCAGACCAACUGGAAUACGUCCCUGCCCUUUGUACACACCGCCCGUC